UCUUUUUCCUCCUUAGGUGGAAAUCUCUGUUGAAAGCAGCCAAGCAGUGACUAUUUUCCUGGUAUGAUGUCACCACGCUUCGGAUCCAUGGUUAUGUCAUGUCCAGAAAUGCAGAAAUUCUGUCAGUCAUGCGGAUUCUCUUCCAAUCCACAGGCAGUUCCAUAAUAAAUCUUCUGAGGCACUUUGGGUUGUUUGUGUGCUUGAA
Molecule: long non-coding RNA, 205 nt
Organism: Anolis sagrei ordinatus
Lineage: Eukaryota; Metazoa; Chordata; Lepidosauria; Squamata; Anolidae
Source: RefSeq, a predicted model, not a curated record